This 65-nucleotide ribosomal RNA is filed under the name Streptomyces scabiei. RNAcentral describes it as "partial 23S ribosomal RNA". The record is from RNAcentral. Lineage: Bacteria; Bacillati; Actinomycetota; Actinomycetes; Kitasatosporales; Streptomycetaceae.
AUAUGGAAGCCCAGUAAUGGGUGGAGUUGACUGGUACUAAUAGGCCGAGGGCUUGUCCUCAGUUG